GAAUCUGCCUUCUGGUCGGGGACAACCACUGGAAACGGUGGCUAAUACCGGAUGAGCCGAAGGGUAAAAGAUUAAUUGCCAGAAGAGGAGCUCGCGUCUGAUUAGCUAGUUGGUAGGGUAAAAGCCUACCAAGGCAUCGAUCAGUAGCUGGUCUGAGAGGACGAUCAGCCACACUGGGACUGAGACACGGCCCAGACUUCUACGGGAGGCAGCAGUGGGGAAUUUUCCGCAAUGGGCGAAAGCCUGACGGAGCAAGACCGCGUGAGGGAAGAAGGCUCUUGGGUCGUAAACCUCUUUUGUUAGGGAAGAACACAAUGACGGUACCUGACGAAUCAGCCUCGGCUAACUCCGUGCCAGCAGCCACGGUAAUACGGAGGAGGCAAGCGUUAUCCGGAAUUAUUGGGCGUAAAGCGUCCGCAGGUGGCGAUUCAAGUCUGCGGUCAAAGACUGGGGCUUAACCCUGGAAAGGCCGUGGAAACUGAAGAGCUAGAGUGCAGUAGGGGUAGAGGGAAUUCCCGGUGUAGCGGUGAAAUGCGUAGAGCUCGGGAAGAACAUCGGUGGCGAAAGCGCUCUGCUGGACUGCAACUGACACUCAGGGACGAAAGCUAGGGGAGCG
This 616-nucleotide ribosomal RNA is filed under the name uncultured cyanobacterium. Its description in RNAcentral is "bacterial SSU rRNA". It matches the Rfam family "Bacterial small subunit ribosomal RNA", at positions 122 to 770 of the family's 1533-position model. The record is from RNAcentral. Lineage: Bacteria; Bacillati; Cyanobacteriota.